RNAcentral lists this long non-coding RNA (2379 nucleotides) under Ovis aries (sheep). RNAcentral describes it as "lncRNA (ENSOARG00000026789.1)". Lineage: Eukaryota; Metazoa; Chordata; Mammalia; Artiodactyla; Bovidae. The record is from RNAcentral.
AUGGAAGCAAAUGCUCUUGCCGGGCGGCAUAAAAUGCUCAUUUCUGUGAUGUAUUCAGAUCCUGAUUCCUUCAGGAGAAUGCUUGUAUGUUGUUCACAGGUCUCAGAAUCCACUCUCCUUGUGUUUUCAUUUGAAGUUGUACACGGAUUAGGAUGGUAUGAGGUCGGGGUUGACUGGACAAUGAUGGAUGAAAACAGCCUGAGUAAUGGUGAGUACCAUUCAUCAGUUCAUGAUGAAUAUUCGUCUCUCAUGGAAAGACAGGUAGGUAAGAAUGUCGCUCUAACUUUGUAUAUAUUCUACCAGACUCACCAUUUCUUAUCAUCUUCCUUCAGAGUAACCUGAGUUAACCUCUUGGCUAAAAUAUUGUGAAGGGACACAAUGCCUUGGGCUGGUUGCUGUAAAAACUAAUAUGCUAUUUAGUUAUUUAAAAGGUAAUGAAAAAUAUCUUGUGGAUUAACAAAUCAACAGAAAACCAUUAUAGGAAAGUAUAGAGAACCAAAAGAAAAGAUACAUAUCCAUAAUCACAUGAUUAUGCCACCCCAAUAAUAUCAGGUAAUUUUCUGUGCAUAUCUUUUAAAAAAGGGUUCAUACUGUAUAUACUCACUUAAAACCUAUUUUUGUCCCCAACUCUGUAUUAUAUGCAUUUUUAUUUCAAUAGUUAUUCCCAUAAUAUUUUUUAAAUGUGUACAUAUUACAUCAAUGAAUGAUGUGAGAUUGUCUAACCUAAUGCUUAUUGCUGGACAUUUUGGUUGUCUUAAAUUUUACUAUUGUAGACAAUAUUAACAAACAUUUUGAAAUGAAAUAAUUAUACAUAUGCUUAAUUAUUUCCAAAGGAUCUAUUUCUUUCUGUAAGGGGAAUAUUCAUUUUAAAGACUUUUCAUAACUACAGUGUAUGCUAUUUAAAAACAUUGUAACCCAUGCAAAGAGUAAUUAUAUAUUGAACAGCAUUCAUCUAGCAUAUAUUUUUUAUUAAGAAUUAUUAAAGUAUGAUUAAGAACUGGUAUUAUUCAAAUCCUUUAUAUUAACUCAAUGUGUUACAUACAAUACAGUUUGGCAAGAUCUUUAAACAAAUCUGGAGGGAAAUGAAAAUUUCUCUCAUCUUAAGAGUGAUCCACUUUUCUAUUUCUCUUCUUUUUUUAAAAACAGCUUUGUUGGGAGGAGGGAGGGGGGUUCAGGAUGGGGAACACGUGUAUACCUGUGGCGGAUACAUGUUGAUGUAUGGCAAAACCAACACAAUAUUGUAAAGUAAUUAACCUCCAAUUAAAUAAAUUCAUAUUUUAAAAAACCAGCUUUGUUGUAAUAUAAUUCAUAUACCCUACAGUUUGCCCACUUAAAGAGUGUAAGUCAGUUGUUAGUCUGGUCAUAGUUGUGCAACUAUCACCACCAUUGUAGAAAAAUUGUGUUACUCGUAAAAGAAACCCUGCGCCGCUAAACUCCACCCUGGUCCUCUGUUAUUCCCAGGCCCAGGUAACCACUUUUGCUUGCCUUUUGACACUGUAGGUUUGCUUAUUCUUGACACUUGAUAUAAAUGGAAUCACACAAUAUGAGGCCCUUGGUGACUGACUGCUUUCACUUAAGCAUAUCAUUUUAAAGGUUCAUUUAUGUAGCAAUAUGUGUCAGUAAUUUGUUCCUUUUAUUUUUUACUGAAUAAUAUUCCACUGUAUGGAUAUACCUCAUUGAUCUGUACAUCAGAUAGACAUGUGAGUUGUUUCCACUUUUAUGUACGAUGAGUAAUGCUUCUAUGAACAUUUUUAUCCUUAUUUUUGAGUGGACAUUGUUUUUAUUUCUCUGGGGUGUGAGAAUGAAGUGUGAGAGUGAAAUUGUUGAUUGUAUUUUAACUCUGUUUGAUGACAUGAGAAAAUGCCAGACUCUUGUUUUCAAAAGAUACCAACUCUGUUUCACAGUGUUUAUGUUGAUAAUUAAAUUAUUUUCUUUUAAAAUUCAUUUUUAAAAUAACUCAACCUCAGGACCUAUAAUUGUUGUAGGUAUAUAAAAUUUGUAUGUGUUUUGAAUAGAUUUGCGGUAAUUGUUAUCUUACCGCUGCUACUGCUAAGUCACUUCAGUCGUGUCUGACUCUGUGCGACCCCAGAGACGGCAGCCCACCAGGCUCCCCCGUCCCUGGGAUUCUCCAGGCAAGAACACUGGAGAGGGUUGCCAUUUCCUUCUCCAAGAACAAAAGCUGCUACUGCUGCUGCUAAGUCGCUUCAGUCGUGUCCGACUCUGUGCGACCCCAUAGACCGCAGCCCACCAGGCUCUGCCGUCCCUCGGAUUCUCCAGGCAAGAACACUGGAGUGGGUUGCCAUUUCCUUUUCCAAUUGUUAUCUUACUCUAUUAUAAAUGUAGAUAUUAAUCAUUUACUGUCUGUGGUUUCCAAUAAUA